Molecule: ribosomal RNA, 450 nt
Filed under: uncultured bacterium
Lineage: Bacteria
Description: partial 16S ribosomal RNA
Rfam family: Bacterial small subunit ribosomal RNA
Source: RNAcentral
GUGGGGAAUUUUGGACAAUGGGCGAAAGCCUGAUCCAGCCAUGCCGCGUGCAGGAAGAAGGCCUUCGGGUUGUAAACUGCUUUUGUACGGAACGAAACGGUCCGGGUUAAUACCCUGGGCUAAUGACGGUACCGUAAGAAUAAGCACCGGCUAACUACGUGCCAGCAGCCGCGGUAAUACGUAGGGUGCAAGCGUUAAUCGGAAUUACUGGGCGUAAAGCGUGCGCAGGCGGUUUUGUAAGACAGAGGUGAAAUCCCCGGGCUCAACCUGGGAACUGCCUUUGUGACUGCAAGGCUAGAGUACGGCAGAGGGGGAUGGAAUUCCGCGUGUAGCAGUGAAAUGCGUAGAUAUGCGGAGGAACACCGAUGGCGAAGGCAAUCCCCUGGGCCUGUACUGACGCUCAUGCACGAAAGCGUGGGGAGCAAACAGGAUUAGAAACCCUAGUAGUCC